AGCAUGGUCUUAGCUUGCUAAGACUGAUGGCGACCGGCGCACGGGUGAGUAACGCGUAUGUAAUCUACCUGUAACAGAGGGAUAACCCGGAGAAAUCCGGCCUAAUACCUCAUAAUACAUAUUAUUCGCAUGAGUUUUAUGUUAAAGAAAUUCGGUUACAGAUGAACAUGCGUUCCAUUAGCUGGUUGGCGGGGUAACGGCCCACCAAGGCGACGAUGGAUAGGGGUUCUGAGAGGAAGGUCCCCACACUGGUACUGAGACACGGACCAGACUCC
RNAcentral lists this ribosomal RNA (275 nucleotides) under uncultured Bacteroidota bacterium. Its description in RNAcentral is "uncultured Bacteroidetes bacterium partial 16S ribosomal RNA". It matches the Rfam family "Bacterial small subunit ribosomal RNA", at positions 68 to 339 of the family's 1533-position model. Lineage: Bacteria; Pseudomonadati; Bacteroidota. The record is from RNAcentral.